GGAAGGAGGGAAGGAAGGAAAGGAAAGGGGAAGAGAGAAAGAAAAGAAGGAGGAAAGGGAGAGAAAGAAUUGGAAGAUUAGUUGCCCGUUUUAUGACUCACAUCAUCCACCACUCAUACUACUGGACUGUGGUGGUAAACAUUAGACAUGGUAUAAUGAAAGCUAUACCUUGUUCUGUAGAGGAAUAAAGAAUGACUUUAUAGACCUAGGAAACAUUUAAUUUAAGCCAGUCUUUAAAGAUGGUUGACGAAAGAGGAGCCAGACAUGAUUACAAAAGGUAUAGGUAGUGUAAUUAUCCUUUUAAUGUUAUACAGGUAUUCAUAACCACCUUUCUUUUGACCCCCUAUGGCUCAGGGACCUACAAGUCUGAAUAUGUAAGAACGCUUUCUACCUGAGGAGAUGAAAACUGUCUGCUUAGAUAUUUUAAUUGCUUCUUUUUUAAGCAUAUGUAGCAAUGUGAGAAUUCAGACCAUUUUCCUUCCGUGAAGCUGGUCAGAACAGCCCUUCAGUUCCUUAUUUCUGCUGUGGUUGGGAAAUGCUCUUCAUGUUCAGUGGUGCAUUUUAGCAGUCACCCCAUGGAGUGUGUAUUAAAAAUAACUCACUCCACAUGGCUCCAUAUUUGUGAAAAGCUUCUAGCUGAAUCUACCAGUGGUCUGUUUGGUGAAGGAAAAUUAUUCUGUGGUAGCUACUGGCCUACUAAGCGUUCCAUUUCAAAUGAUGCACUUCAAAGCUGUUAAUGUUUUCUAAAAGCCAGAAGUUCCCCUGCAUUUAUACCAAGUGUUUUAUAUACCAAACCUCAUUACCCACUUCACUGGCCUUGACCUAUAAUGAUGCUUGCCUUUAGCUCUGGCCUGCAGAGUUAAGACUUAAGACAAAAAUAUAUAAUACCCACCACAAAAUCAAUGCCCUAACAGACUCAUGCAAGUGAGCGCCACUCUCAAACAGGGAAAGACAAGAUGGAAAAGCUUAUGAUUAAUAGUGAUUAUGUUGGAAAUUAAAAUGAUGACCCAUACUUUUUAGCUCAGUACUUUUUUAUAAACGACUACAUCUACCUGUGGUUUGAAGCAUCAUUCUUUGCAUGUUGGUGAGUGUGGAAAGAUAUAUCUAAACUGACUGGUUGGUGAGUAUCACUGCAUUUGACAUAUCCUAUUUAUUUGCAUUGCUGUUCAAACUGCCAUUGUUUCUUCCUGUCACAGUUUUUUUUUUGUUGUUUUUUGUUUUUUUCUCUUCUCAAAGCAGGUUAGUGCAGUGGUUUAGAGGAUGGGUGUUAGAUUUACUCCGUCUGGGCUUCAAUUCCUAUUCCAUUUAUUUCUAACUGUGUGCAAAUUACUUAACUACAACUCUCAAUUUCUUAAUCAGUAAAUUAACUUUCCUCUUUGUAGGUUUGUUCUGAGGAGUAAAGGGACUAAGUAUGUAAAACAGUUAACUCAUUGCCCGGAAUUUGUCCUGUGCUUCGUGAAAUCCCAGAGGCCAUCCCGUGGAAGAUAUAUCAUGGUUUAUUCAUCUUUAAGAAAGAAAAAACUGUCUUCAAUGGGGAGUCUAAUAAGAUAAUUGCUUAAAGUUGGGACACCAAAGGGUUAUCUCUUCAAUGCAGGGAAAAAUGAGAAAUAGACCCAUCACUCAGAAAGGGAACUUGCAACAAAGGAACUUGCAGGUCUCGAAUUUGGUCCUAGUAGAAGGAAGGACAAAUGUCUUCCCUGAGAUUUUGAUUUUACAAUGUCAUUGUGAAUUUUUUUAAAAAAGUUUAGAUAGAUAAUUUAAUUUAAAGUGGUCUCAGGUGGGGAGGCCCCCGGACAAACGAUAGGAGCAGCUGUGAAUACUCUUUGGAAGAACUCUAUGUCCAUCCAAGUCUCCAGGGAUUUUAAGAUGGCAGCAAUUUUCAAGGACAUUCUCAAAAUCAGAGAUGAUAAAAUAUGAAAAAAUCGGACAGUUUGAAUUGAUUAAAUACAGUGCAUAAUAGUCAUACAAUAUUGUUAAAAUCAUGAAUUUUGACAAUAUUUGUUAGGUGAGAUCUUAUUGAUAGAUUGAAGCAAAAUUUUCAUUCCAUUACAGGAAUGAAAUUAAACUCCUUUCCUUCUAAAAUAGAACAGUCUGGAGGAGAGACAGGUGUAGAGUAAUAAAUUACAUAUAUAUAAGUUACAAAUAGAUUUUAUAAAACAAUAAUAAAUUAUAAAGGAGUGAAUGUUGCCACAGAACUUACAGAAUGACCAGAGAAGCCAUUACGGAUAUCUGAAAUUGAAUGGAAUGUUUCACAGAAGAGGUGACUUAUGUAGUAGAGUUACAUUAGCAAAGUGAAACUUAAAAUAUAGGUAAUUAUUUGGUUCUUUGAGGCCUUGCAUUUCAAAUACUUUCAUCUGAAACAUUCUUUCAUCUGCAAUGAAAAUCAAGGUUAAUGAUAUUUUCUUGCUUGCUUGUAAUAUUCCUAUAUUUUCCUCUGUUCUCUGCUUCAUUUUUAGAAUUUUUCUAAAUCAAAAUAACAUAUGAUUACAGCAUUUCUUUGCAUACCUUUCUCCACACCCUCUUCUGCCAAGGAUAUUAGACUAUAUAUUUCCCAGAAUACAAAACUUAGAGUAUUAAAAUGUAUAUUCAAAUAUUAAAACAUAUAUUCUAAUAUUUUAAACUCUAUUCAUACUAGAAUAUAUUUUAAUAUUCUAAGUAAUAUGCUUAUACUGCUUUUUCUUGAUAUAUCAAUUCUAGGCAUUAUUAGCUAAAUCAGGCUAUGUUUACAAAAUUAUGACCAUGACAGUAUCAUUCCAUUUUUUAGCCAAGUAAUAUCUAUGAUUAGAUUUCUUAGAGUUAUUAACCACUUCUGUUUUUCCUGUUUGCUUAGUUUUUUUGUACUUAUCCCAAUUUUUUUCUUUCGAAUACAACAAUAGAUUUAUUAAAUUUCCAGCAGUGAUUUUACUUUUUCAAUGCUGAUGCAUAUCAAACAAUCCACCCAUUCUGUAUAAUUUUUUUCCUGGAGCGCUGCUACUCUGGACUGGUCCCAUCUAGGUCUGAUGCAUGACCAUCCUCCUUGGGCUGUCCUUGACUUUCUCCUGGGUCUGUUUUCCUGGAUCCAUUGUUACUUUUUCUCUGAAUUUACUCCCUAGUUUCACUGGAGCACAUUUUUCAGUAGCUUCCUGAGAAAGACGCUUGGUAGGUAAAUAUCUGAAAAUGUCUUUAAUCUCUCACUGGAUGGAUAAUUUGAAUAUGAUAUCCUAAAUUAGCUGUUGCUUUCCUUCAGCACUUUCCAGAGUUACUGGUGAGAAAUUGUAUGGCAUUUUCAUUCUCUUUUAAUAACCUUUUAUUAAAUCACUAAUUGUCUAGGUUAUAUAAAGUUGGCGUGGGGCUUUUGUUAAUCAAUUUGCUAAGCAUGUGAUAGGUACUAAUAAGCUAAAGCCAUGACUCUUAACCUAUGUUUGGAGGUUCCCCUGGGUACAUAGGGUGCCCCAAGGAACUUGCCAGGAUGCCAGGGAAUGUUUUACAAUUUCAAGGAAGAUGUAGUAACAUCUUUUGGACACCAGAUAAAUCAUAACUUGAGUUUCAACAUAAGAUUGCUACAUUCCUUCAAUAAUGUGAUAUCUUUUAAGUGAGUUUUCUGCAGUAGCUGUGAUUUUUCAAAAAGUCAUGAAAAUUAGUAUGGAACAGGAAAUGAGAGUGGUAAUAUCUAUUAUAGUAUAAUUUCAAGUUUUGAAAAGUUGCAUAAUGCCCAGUAGGUGUCAAGUUUUUAGGACAUAAAUACUUACUGUUGUUUGGGCCUCAUUACUUAAUAAAUAGAUUUGUUAGGUAUUUCUUUGGUCCCCAAGUGUGUCAUGAAAAAAUCACUAAGUCACUAAGGACACCGUUUACCCAGAAAAUUGGGACCUCUGAACUGAAGACUCUUACACUAUCUGCAUGCGGAAAUCCUAUUAACUGAACAUUGGACUCUCCCCAUAUUGACCCACUAAUAAACUGAUUUUUGUUGCUAUUUCUCCACUUUUCCUUCAUUUUUAUUCAUUUUUUUUUCAUUCUGGAGAACUAGAUUUUUAUGUACAACUCUUGUAUUGAUUUUUCAUUCCAUCUAUCAUAUCUCUAAGUUCCCAAACCAUUUUCUUGUUCUUUGAUUGUUCCUUUUUUAUAUAGCAUCCUCUUGUUGUUUUGUAGACACAUUAUCUUUGCUUGUCUGUCUGAGCAUAUUAUAAUAGUUUUUUGAAGACUAUUUUGCACCAGUAUUGACUCAGAUGUCUCCAAGUUCCUUUUUCUCUACUUUGUUUUUGAGUGUGCUAUGCAUAUCUGAUAAUUUCAUCUAUUUUGAGAUUUGUUCCAUCUUUGUGUACCCCAAGAGACAGAAUCUGAAAUGAGGAUCUAAGUGCAAGAAGUUUAUUUGGGAUGUAAUUCUAGAAAACACUGGCAGUAAAGUGCAGACAUGAGACAGUGAAGGGAAUGAACCAAUAAAGGCCGUACUGUUAGUUGCUCAGUCCCUCUAGAGCUCAGCAUGUCCCAAUUGAAAGUGAGUGAGAAAGCCGGUAAAAUGGAUUUACCAACUCUCCAGCCAUCUUUGCGUUAAGGGUUGCUUCUGGGACAUUAACUCCCUGGUCAGCAUCUCUAUGAGGGCUGUGUGUACUCCCAACAAAAAGAUGCCUUCAGGGAGAGAACUGAAGGUAUUUUCUGUAAGCAACCUGCAGCCUGUGGAGUUGAAUGCAGAGGAGACAUAAUAUACUAACAUUAGGCUUCAUCAUAAUCACAUUCCUUAUUCUAAAAGAGUUCAGAAGAAAUCAUGGUGGAAGGUGUAUUGCACGCAGCCCUAGACACAUUUUCAUCUCAAAUCUUUUAUAAAAAGCUGGUUCAGACACAAUCAAGAUUGAAUAUAUUAUCCUUGGGAAGACUUGCAAGACAAUAUUUUGGGCCACCUAUACCAGAUUUUUAAAAACUUCUUGGAAUGCAUGGCUAGCAGAGUGUUUGUGAAAUCCAGCCGAUUGCUGAUUGCACAGUUCCUGUGAGUAGAUUAUGUACAAGUUAGAUUCAUUGAACUAAAAAGGGAUAUUGUGUACAUCAAGGUUUCUCAACUUCAGAGAUAGUGACAUUUUGGUUCAGAUAGUUCUUCAUUGUGGAGGCUGUCCUUUGUAUUAUAGGAUGUUUAGCAGCAUCUCUAGCCUCUACUCACUUGGUGCAAGUAGCAUUAUCUUCUUCUAGUUGUAUUAAACCAAAGUGUCUUCAGACAUUGACAAGUGUUUUCUGGAGGGCAAAAAGUCCCCAGUUGAGAGGCACUGGUGUACAGCCUACAGCUCUGGUUCUCAUGCUUGACCACAUAUUAUGGUCACUUGGGAAGCUUUUAAAGCCCUCAUGAUUGGAUCCUUCCCCAAGAGGUCCUGAUUUUAUUAGUCUGGGGCCUUAGAAGGUUUAAAAGUUCCCCAGGUGGUUCUAAUCUACAAUCAAGGCUGGUCAUUAACUGUAGGGCAGCAAAUUGCUGAGUGUAAGACAAUCAGAUAUGGUGAGGCCUGUGUUAAACUGGGCAUCUUGUUGCCAUAUAGAAGAGAUCUUCUCUUCUUACGGAUUUAUUUCUCUUUUUUCGUGCUUUGUAGCAAACAUAAGACAUUUUUAGCACACCUCUCUUUUAAUAGUACUAUUCUUGUGUGGCAAGUACUAUUCUUGUGUGACAAGAGAACUACUGAGCCACAGAGUGACGAUCAAAAGCUAGGCGUGGAAUAAAGGUGUACAAACCAGCUUUGUGACCUUGUGCAAUCACUGCACCUGCCUGGCCUCAACUUUCUCAUUGAUAACAUAAGAAUAGCAAUGAUGCUUUCUUUAUAGGGCUGAGGUGACGAUUAAGAGUUAAUACAGAACUUAGUACAGUAUCUGGCGCAUAGAGGUCAGCAUGUGUUGACUCUUAUUACGAACUGUUUGUCUUCCUCCACUUGAGUGUAUGCUCCUAAGAGAUCAGGUCUUAUCCAUCUUAAAACUUCAGUGAACUGAGCAAAAUUAACCCAUUCUCUGUUUGUCAUUAGCCAUGGCCUUCACAUAGAAGGAUUUGGACAAAAAAAAAAAAAAAAAAAAAAAAAAA
RNAcentral lists this long non-coding RNA (6022 nucleotides) under Homo sapiens (human). RNAcentral describes it as "HSALNT0349381". Lineage: Eukaryota; Metazoa; Chordata; Mammalia; Primates; Hominidae. The record is from RNAcentral.